UACGGGGGGGGCAAGCGUUGUUCGGAUUCAUUGGGCGUAAAGGGUGCGUAGGUGGCGCUGUAAGUCAGGUGUGAAAUUUCGGAGCUUAACUCCGAAACUGCAUUUGAUACUGCGGUGCUUGAGGACUGGAGAGGAGACUGGAAUUCACGGUGUAGCAGUGAAAUGCGUAGAGAUCGUGAGGAAGACCAGUGGCGAAGGCGGGUCUCUGGACAGUUCCUGACACUGAGGCACGAAGGCCAGGGGAGCAAACGGG
RNAcentral lists this ribosomal RNA (253 nucleotides) under uncultured bacterium. Its description in RNAcentral is "partial 16S ribosomal RNA". It matches the Rfam family "Bacterial small subunit ribosomal RNA", at positions 524 to 776 of the family's 1533-position model. The record is from RNAcentral.